This 532-nucleotide ribosomal RNA is filed under the name uncultured Entrophospora. Its description in RNAcentral is "SSU rRNA". It matches the Rfam family "Eukaryotic small subunit ribosomal RNA", at positions 569 to 1092 of the family's 1831-position model. The record is from RNAcentral. Lineage: Eukaryota; Fungi; Glomeromycota; Glomeromycetes; Entrophosporales; Entrophosporaceae.
AGCAGCCGCGGUAAUUCCAGCUCCAAUAGCGUAUUAUUAAAGUUGUUGCAGUUAAAAAGCUCGUAGUUGAAUUUCGGGAUUGACACAUCGGUCGUGCCUUUAAGGGGUAUGAACUGGUGUAGUCAAUUUCUCACCUUUCUGGAGAACCGCGAUGCCCUUAAUUGGGUGUCGCGGGGAACCAGGACCUUUACUUUGAAAAAAUUAGAGUGUUUAAAAGCAGGCAUUUUGCUUGAAUACAUUAGCAUGGAAUAAUAAAAUAGGACGGCAUGAUUCUAUUUUGUUGGUUUCUAGGAUCACCGUAAUGAUUAGUAGGGAUAGUUGGGGGCAUUAGUAUUCAAUUGUCAGAGGUGAAAUUCUUGGAUUUAUUGAAGACUAACUACUGCGAAAGCAUUUGCCAAGGAUGUUUUCAUUAAUCAAGAACGAAAGUUAGGGGAUCGAAGACGAUCAGAUACCGUCGUAGUCUUAACCAUAAACUAUGCCGACUAGGAAUCAGACGAUGUUAAUUUUUUAAUGACUCGUUUGGCACCUUACG